CAGUAGCCGCGGUAACACCGAGGGUGCGAGCGUUAAUCGGAUUUACUGGGCGUAAAGCGUGCGUAGGCGGCUUCUUAAGUCGGAUGUGAAAUCCCUGAGCUUAACUUAGGAAUUGCAUUCGAUACUGGGAAGCUAGAGUAUGGGAGAGGAUGGUAGAAUUCCAGGUGUAGCGGUGAAAUGCGUAGAGAUCUGGAGGAAUACCGAUGGCGAAGGCAGCCAUCUGGCCUAAUACUGACGCUGAGGUACGAAAGCAUGGGGAGCAAACAGGAUUAGAUACCCCAGUAGUCCCUGUCUCUUAUAC
This 301-nucleotide ribosomal RNA is filed under the name uncultured bacterium. RNAcentral describes it as "partial 16S ribosomal RNA". It matches the Rfam family "Bacterial small subunit ribosomal RNA", at positions 509 to 807 of the family's 1533-position model. The record is from RNAcentral.